RNAcentral lists this ribosomal RNA (442 nucleotides) under uncultured bacterium. RNAcentral's name for it is "partial 16S ribosomal RNA". It matches the Rfam family "Bacterial small subunit ribosomal RNA", at positions 338 to 795 of the family's 1533-position model. The record is from RNAcentral.
CCUACGGGGUGCAGCAGUAGGGAAUCUUUCACAAUGGGCGAAAGCCUGAUGGAGCAACGCCGCGUGCAGGAUGAAGGCCUUCGGGUUGUAAACUGCUUUUAUAAGCGAGAAAUAUGAUGGUAACUUAUGAAUAAGGAUCGGCUAACUACGUGCCAGCAGCCGCGGUCAUACGUAGGAUCCGAGCAUUAUCCGGAGUGACUGGGUGUAAAGAGUUGCGUAGGUGACAUAAUAAGUAGCUAGUGAAAUCUGGUGGCUCAACCAUUCAGACUAUUAGCUAAACUGUUAAGCUCGAGACCGUUAGGGGUAACUGGAAUUUCUAGUGUAGGAGUGAAAUCCGUAGAUAUUAGAAGGAACACCAAUAGCGUAGGCAGGUUGCUGGGACGGUUCUGACACUAAGGCACGAAAGCGUAGGGAGCAAACGGGAUUAGAUACCCGAGUAGUC